GACGAACGCUGGCGGCGUGCUUAACACAUGCAAGUCGAACGAUGAAGCGGUGCUUGCACCGUGGAUUAGUGGCGAACGGGUGAGUAAUACGUGAGUGACCUACCUUUGACUCUGGGAUAAGCCUGGGAAACUGGGUCUAAUACCGGAUACGACCAAUCUCUGCAUGGGGUGUUGGUGGAAAGCGUUAUGGAGUGGUUUUAGAUGGGCUCACGGCCUAUCAGCUUGUUGGUGAGGUAAUGGCUUACCAAGGCGACGACGGGUAGCCGGCCUGAGAGGGUGACCGGCCACACUGGGACUGAGACACGGCCCAGACUCCUACGGGAGGCAGCAGUGGGGAAUAUUGCACAAUGGGCGCAAGCCUGAUGCAGCGACGCCGCGUGAGGGAUGACGGUCUUCGGGUUGUAAACCUCUGUUAGCAUCGAAGAAGCGAAAGUGACGGUAGGUGCAGAGAAAGCGCCGGCUAACUACGUG
RNAcentral lists this ribosomal RNA (471 nucleotides) under uncultured bacterium. Its description in RNAcentral is "partial 16S ribosomal RNA". It matches the Rfam family "Bacterial small subunit ribosomal RNA", at positions 28 to 507 of the family's 1533-position model. The record is from RNAcentral.